GAUGACUCACGCAGUCGGGCCUCCGCCCCGCCGGGCCGCGCGCACGUGAGCGCGCAGCUCGGCCGGUCUAAUUUUAGCUCUGAGGUGUCAGGGUCGUGUGAGCUUCUGGCACCAUGAAAACACGGAGAAAGGUUAUAGGUCAGUUCCAGUUCUAUUUUUCUGUCCCGUAACCAAGGAACGUGGGAUCUUUAGCCAAUGGAGUCUCACCAUCUUGUUCUGCCAUCAAGACCCUUCACCAGAGGAUGCUUAAGAAGAUGAGAUCAAGACAACCUGGGGAUGGCCAGGCUUUGGCACAGAGCCUGGCACUCGCUCGCUGCUUUCGUGUUUGUUAAGUAUUUGUUAGUAAGUGAAGCUGCUUUACACUCCAGCCAUCAAGACCCUUCACCAGAGGAUGCUUAAGAAGAUGAGAUCAAGACAACCUGGGGAUGGCCAGGCUUUGGCAUCACACCUGAAGGUUCUGUUGUCAGCCACCCAGAGAGUCUCAGACAUUUAAUCUGUCCUCUCUCCAGUCUGACUUUCUUGUGGUACUAAAUAAGAAAGGGAAAAGGAGGAAGCCAGUUACACAGGAACAUUCAUCCUUCUUCCUCCUGAUAGCAGUGUGAGGAGACACCUCACCCUCUGGAUGCCAGAGAACUCUGUGCACUUCCAUGAACUAAAACAAGCCUGCCCUGCCUCAGGUCGCUUUUGCCAGGCAUUUUGUCAUAGCGAUGACAACAGUGACUCAGAGCUUUAGAGGUUCUGAGAGCUUGUAUGUAGAGCUUGCUUUUUCCUCAAGAGUGGUGUGGAAUCUCAUUCACAUAAGGUGUCUCAUCUCUACAAGGAGUCUUUAGAGGUCUUCUCUGUGGCCCAAGAUCACCAAGACCUCGGAUCACAUGCUUUUGUACAUGACUGUUUGUGCUAUACAACAACUGGUCCCCAGAGCCUGGCCUCUUCCAAGGAUGAGUGGGAAUCACACACAUAUAUAUACACACCACACUUAUACCCACAUACCUGCACACAUGUACACAUGCAUACACACAUGCUCACACGCAUAUACACAUGCUCACACAUAUACACACACAUGCUCACACUCACAUACACAUGCUCACACAUACACACAUGCACACACACACACUCACACAUACAUGCUCACACUCAUACAUGCUCACACAUAUACACACAUGCAUAUACACACAUGCUCACAUGCACAUACACACACAGGCAUUUCUACUCAUACCAGGGAGCCUUGUCUCUGAACUGAUUGUCACUAAAUCCUCACAUCUAAGCUUGUCCUCCCUUAGGAAAUGUGUCACUUUUACUGUCACCUAGCUCAUCCAUCAGUCCUGUCACCCACUUGGGUCUCUGGCAAGUUUGGCCAGCACAGCACUUCCCACUGCUACACGGCUGUAUUGGAUACACCCCUCUGUACUUGUGAAUAAAGUCACUGAGGUUCCUUGCUGCCUUUCUUCCUCUGGUUCUCUCUGGACAGAAAGCUCCAGAAAUCAGAUUCACUUUCCUGCCACUGCUGCUAAUGAGUGAGUGCAUGAAAGAGCUGGUUCCUGUGGGUUUAUAGAUGCUCUAAAAUCAUUGUUACUUUGUUUUUAUUUUUGAGACUGGGUCUUACUUUGUAGCCUUGGCUGGUCUGG
Molecule: long non-coding RNA, 1625 nt
Organism: Rattus norvegicus (Norway rat)
Lineage: Eukaryota; Metazoa; Chordata; Mammalia; Rodentia; Muridae
Source: Ensembl